Non-coding RNA from Paramuricea clavata, 627 nucleotides. The record is from the annotation of a GenBank genome assembly. Lineage: Eukaryota; Metazoa; Cnidaria; Anthozoa; Malacalcyonacea; Plexauridae.
CGUAAUUUACAACUACAGAAUAAUUACUGUAAAAUAUUACUGUCAACACAUGUCAAAUAACAAAUCUCGUAUUAAAUACAUUCGUCUAUUAUACUGUAAUUUACGAUUACAGUACACUUACUGUAAAAAAUAGCAGUACAGUAUUCGGUAAAAACAGAUAUGUUUAACAGUGUGGAAUAUAUUUAUGAAACUAUUCUAGAGAUAAAUGCAAGAACUAAACGUUCACUUAUUAAACAACAUUUAGCAUCAAUGUCCAAUGAAAACUAAACACGACUAAAAUUACAUUUAAUUUUAAUAUACAGUAUCUUGCACGAACUAAAACUAAACGCGAACCAAAUAUUUAAGUCCAGGGAUAAACCUUGAACAGCAAUCGUGCAGAACAUUUCGGUCAACAAAUAGCACGCUUAAUUAAUGAUGACCUUGGCAAGUUCUUCGUGUAUGCCUAAAAGUUCUUCCAAAGCUUUUUGAAAAUGAAAUACUUGUUUCAAGCAAGAACUGAUUGAACUAUUAUACUAAGAUAUUUUUUCUUUUCUAAUUAACUAAAACUAAAGUGAGACUAAAGUGGGAUUUUUUAUUCAAAGUUCAAACUGGAACUGAACUAAAGUUAAAAUGAUUUCUUUUUAAACG